CCUGAGGAGGCAAAGGCAGAGGAGAGUCAUAUGUGAAGCCAAUAAGGUAGAGAGGAAAAGGUGUGUAGGGUGAUGGAGCAUCUCCAUCCAAGGCAACAGAAAUGGUUUUAAACGGUUACAAGGGAGGACUAAGAGCAGUGUCAGGGUGAAUGUGGGCGCCGCAGCAUCUAAAGUAAUGUGUGAUGUGCAACCUUCUGGUUUCCCACCUGGAAGCACCCCCAUAUCGCUGCUGUGCUGCAUCAACUCCCAUCCCAUCCUCAUGUUCUUUAUGAGAACUGUUGAGUCACUGAUUGAGCACCUGGGAAAGGACUUUGUCAGCCCUGGGAGCACAGGUGAAGGAAUGCAGCUGUGUGAAUAGAAGAGGUGGAGCUGCACCUCUCUGAGACCCCAUUUAAGGGCUGACUGCCACAGGGGGAGGUUCUCUUCCUGGAGAUUCCUCCUUGGUGGAGCUUUCCUCUACAAACCUGGACUCUUCUGAUACAGGUGAGUAAUCUUCCCUUCCUCUAUAGCAUGUCUCUAUUGUGCCAGUCCUUCUGUCAUUAUAUCUCUGGUCCCUCAUGUUAAUCUGUCCAAUUGCUAAAUGUCCCACAAUGCUUUCCCUUACCUAAUCCUUCAGUGGCUGUGAGGGUAAAAGCCACCUGUGCCACUCUCCUGCAGCUGCACCAUUAGGAUUGUCCUGUUGGUCUGCACAUGAGGAACAUGGAAGCCCAGCAAUGCAGUGCAGCACACAACUGCAGCCCAGAAAGAAGGGGAGGCAGCUGGCACUGCGAGCUGAGCAUCUUAUCUCCAAGGAAGCCUCAGGCCCUCGCUGUCAAGAAAGCAAAUGGGGGAAGCAGCUGUCCCUUCUGGGAGGGGCUGCACACACUGAGAUGGUGCUGCGCUCAUUUGUAUUCAUACCUCUGCCUCCUGCCUGGAUGGAUUUUAACCCAUUUUAACCCAACUAUUUGUGUUUUGUAACACAAACCCAAAACGUGCGUUGGUGUGAGGAGAAAGAUGAAGCAUAGAUGACAAGUGCAGCCUGAAGGACCCAAUGCUCCAUUUCAGCCCAAUUCUGUUUCCACUUGGCCUUGGAACCUUUGAAUGACAAAUCUAAUGAAAGCAGCCUGCUGAAAAAUAAAAUAGAAGAGAUACCUCUAUUCUUAUAAUUAAGGCUUGGAAAAGUGGAGGGUUUCUGUGCUGAUGCCUCAUCUAAAGCUUGUCAGUGGGUUUAAGGUCAGGGUGCAAAACUAGGAAGCCUUCAUGUUACUGUAACUGAUUCAAAGGGACUCUGUAGUGUGUAAAUGUAUCUAAUCCAUGUUUUGUUCAUAGAGGAUUAGGUAUGGAAAAGAACAAGGGCAAAAGGGAAGGCAAAGUCUUUGGCAGAAGAGAUUAAAAUGGAUUUCCAGCAUGCAGACCAUCAACAGCAUUCUUCCCAGUGCCAGCACUCACUCUCUGCUUUGGAACCUUCAGGACAAACAGAGACAGCAGUGAACCAUAACUCCACUCAGGUGUCACACUCAUCAUCCAUAAGAACUCCACCUAUGGAAGCUGCAUCUGCUGCUCAGGUUUCUUGCUUCGUUAAGAUGUUUACCUUCAUGGGAAAAGCCUGCAAGGCCAUGGGGCUGCAGAGCAGCUUUCUGCUGCCAUUCUGGGCUGCUGUUUGGGAAGAGAUGACUGCUACAAUGGUUUAUCCCCCAGCUGCUUCAGAACUUGAUCUCCCAAACCACCUCUGGGUUUUGGCUCUGCCCAUGAGCCCAGGCAGGUUGAAUAGAGCUGAGGUAAGUCAUCUCCAAAUUCUAUCACACCUUUUCUACAACUACCUGCUUCUUUUUUAGGUUUCACUGCAUGGAAGUUAAGGGUUAAGGACUGCAGGCAGCACGCCCCCAGUCAGCUGGAGGUGAUAGCAGGACAGCCCCUGCAGAACUCAGCAGCACUUCAAUGCAGAUGAAGGCUGACACCAUGUUCCCUCAGCUCUGCUGCCCAGACACAGGUUAAGGCUCUGCUCUGAGACACCUGUAGAGACAGAACGCUUCCAGACAGCAACACUGCAAAUGAGUGUUGGAGGAAAAAACUAAUUAAGGAAACACACACACAGAAAUGCGAGGUGAAUUAAGCGACAGGCGUAUUGCAAUUAAGCCUACACUUGGAGGAUUAGCUUCAAGUCGCAUCAGGUCACCACAGGAAAUAGCUGAAAACAAAAGGCAAACAAAAUGCUCCCACCUAGCCCUGUGUUCCAGCAGCAGUUUUCACUAGGGCUUUGUGCUGUAAUCUUCCAAGAAUGGGUCAAUUGAAUCUAUUUAUUAGGCAGAGACCUGAGGCACGCUGCAUUUCAGCAGCUGGCUGUGAUGAGCCCAUCUAAAAGAGCACUGGAAGCUGAAAUGUCUCAAGACACAACUGUUUCAAGGCUGCUUUGAGGACUUCUAAAGAGCGCCAGGCUCACAGCAUCUGCUGUUUAUCAGCUCUGUAAGGUGCUCUCAAGAUGAAAAACAACUGUAAGAGGUGCCUCGUCUUCCCUUUGUCUUGGCUCUUUUUGCCCUUCAUCUAUUUCUCCUGCCAGACACCCCGACCUCAGAUGUGCCAGGACAACAGUGUGGCUGCACUCAGCUCGCCUUGCCAAGCUAUUUUUAAUUUCGUUCAGCUCCCUGACCCAGUUCACAGCACAGCCGCACAAGGAGGUGUAGCAGCACAAUGGAAAGGAUAGCAGAAAGGCAGGAAUAAGAGGCAGGGCUAACACUGCCAGAGAUGCUAUAUAAAAAUACAUUCAGACUGAAGCAGGGUGGAAGGAUGCUUUGGUGUCCUAAUGCUGACAUACCGACAGACAACAUCAGGCAUCUCUCCUGCUAAAUGUCUUGAGCUGAAACAUAAGCAACAGCCGGUGUGGUUUGGCCACAUUUGUUCCUAAGGAACUUGCUUUGCUUUAAUUCAGUAGGGGGCUUCCCCACUGGCGAUUCUAAGAGCUCUUCCUAUUUAAUGAGACAAGGAGUCAUGUAGACACUGACACCUACUCUAGAGCUAGUAGUGUUCUGAUAUUACUACAAGGACAUAAUGAUAUUUUUCAAGAUCUGAGACUCCAUUAAAAACAAAGCAUUAUAGUAAGGGAAAAAGAAGCAGGAAGCCCAAUGAUCCAAACCCCACCUACCUGCCAUGCCACAGCAAGCUGGGAGAUCUCUCGGCCAGACAUGCCCUCUGUCAGCCUGGCAAUCUCUGAGCACUUUUUGCCAUAGUCAAACUGGGCCAGCUUCAAACGUCUAAAAGCAGAAGCACAAGGAUUGCUUUAUAUGUAACCACGUGACAGCAGGAGGCAAGGCAGAGGGAGGUUUGUAUUGCUAUUGACAAUUCUACUUCUGAAUGGGAACAUCAGAUUUCUCUUCAUUUUGGAGAAGGGAGACAGCUCUGUUAGCACAGCUGAGGACAACAGCAACAAGGAUACUCACUGUUUGCCCUCUGUGGCUGGCUUCAGGACGUGCCUAUCAAAAUACAUCCUCACGAGCCGCUCUCGCUCUUCUAGCUGGGGCAGAUCAAAGUUCACCAUUU
Coturnix japonica (Japanese quail) is the source of this 3513-nucleotide non-coding RNA. The record is from RefSeq and is a predicted model, not a curated record. Lineage: Eukaryota; Metazoa; Chordata; Aves; Galliformes; Phasianidae.